AUUGAGUUCCUCCACAACCAAACAAACCCAAGUUACAUAGUUAAUACAGUUGAAAAAAGACACAAGUCCAUCAAGUUCAACCAAGGGAUAGGUGGGGACGUGAAUCCCAGAAGGAAGUGAGGCUUAGAUUUCUACACAUUCUCACAAG
Long non-coding RNA from Bufo bufo (common toad), 148 nucleotides. RefSeq lists it as uncharacterized. The record is from RefSeq and is a predicted model, not a curated record. NCBI's taxonomy places the organism in Eukaryota, Metazoa, Chordata, Amphibia, Anura, Bufonidae. The transcript is spliced from 3 exons.